GUUCCACCACCAACGUCAGGAGCUGCACCAUCAUCAUGAGAAAAUAAGAACACAAGUAACCAUAGAUCAUACAAUUAAUAUCAAAACUCUCUUGGGUAUGGCAAAUACCAUUGCUCAACAAUAAAUGAAAAGACCACAACUUUGAACAGCAACAAAGCUUUAGAAAAUCAGCAUGUUUGAUGUAUAUAAAUAUCAAAUCUAACUAAAGGACCAUAUCUUGGAAGGGGUAACAUAGCACAUAUCACUGGAACUCCACUUGAAGAAAUGUCUCAUUUAAUUAUAUCAAACUCAAGGAAAAAACUUCUGGAGUUAUCAACUAGAUAUCAGAGUUGCAUAAGCAUUAAAUCUGGACUUAAUUCCAAUAAGUAAACUUCAUGUGAAUCCACCAGAAUUCAAGUGCUGUGCUUGGACAAGCAAACAGUGAGGACAAAGGCCAUAAACAGAGAGGGUAUCCCUACCUAAACAAAAAUCUUUGGCAGUAAUGCGGACUCCCUUAAUUUUGAAGUUAACCAAAAGUUAUCACGGC
This 526-nucleotide unclassified non-coding RNA is filed under the name Hevea brasiliensis (rubber tree). Lineage: Eukaryota; Viridiplantae; Streptophyta; Magnoliopsida; Malpighiales; Euphorbiaceae. The record is from RNAcentral.